GGACAAUUAACGCUUAACUUUUCUGUUUUUGUUUUGUACACAUAAAAAAAAAAAUGUAUGUAUAUAAAAUUGUACGCACUUAAGCGUUUCGUUCACUCCCGUCCUAUCGUAUACAGUACAUAAGAAAAUGCCAGUCCCGCAAAAAGUUACGGGCAACAAAUUACCGAACAAGUGUCGACGUUGCAGUUCGAGAAAGUGAUCUCGCCAGUAGCUGUAAACGGAAACUCGAACAGACCAUGUACUUGGUCGAACGGUGUACUUGCACCGUAAACCCUUUUUGUAUGUAUUAUUCGAAACGACGUGCAACGAACUUAAAUCGAGUACAAGACUUCUCGCAGAGUCACGAACCGCGUUCAACACCAAGUAGGUACAGAAGAAAUGAAUGGCAAGAGCUAAUCUGAUUUUUCCAUGGACGGCCACGUGUUUCCAUUCGAAGCGGAUGCGUUUUCAAACAACUCGACCGACGGUUUGAUUGCAAACAAACAAAAAAAAUCUGUCAAGACUCGAGAUACUUGCGUGCAAUAUUUUCAAGUACAGUUAUUUUGAUUUGGUUCAGCGUCGACUCGUCAAGUAUUAACGGCCGCUGAAACGAUGCAUAGAUACAAUAAUAAUAUGAUUUUAAUACAACGUUUUUGAUUUGACACAUUUGAAGUUAUAACUCAAAAAAGUCGUCGCCUGCUGGAAAACAUAACCUAACCGGAUUAGAGACAUUAGAACUAUCUCCGAGUUCAAAUAAACUAGUUUUAUGUGCGUGUGUGUUUUUUUUCUCAAAAUUAUUGACUUUUGAACCCACUGCUAUUUUCGCACCAAUGCUCUAAGGUGUAUUGAGAGACAACCCGCAGAGUAUUCUACAAUCAACCGACCAAGUUUUGUUUGUCGUUGUUCUUCUUAUUAUUAUUACCUAGUUGGAAAAUGGAACGAAUCCACCUGGCCGUGUAUAAUGAAAGUCUCCUGUGUAGUAAAAUUCAAUUUAUUGUUGUUGUUAUUAUUAUUACUAAUAUCGCCUGUGUAUAUUCGUUGCAUAUAUUCUUCCUUCGCAAGCUUUAAUAAUAAUACAGUGCACGAAGGGCAGAGAGAUGGCGGCGGUGGUGGAUAUAUUUUGCUAAACAGGAGAUUACGCCGUUAUUACAGGAUUGCAUGUCAAUAUUUUAUUACCUAGGCAGCGCCUUCACUUUAUAGUUGUUGUUGUUUUUUUUUUUAUUAUUAUUAAAAAAAUACAAAAAACAAUCCUCGUUGUCAGUUAAACUAGAACGCCAUUGUCGGCAUUUUAGGCCUUAACAUACUUAUCGAAACGAGGAAGAAUUUGUUAUUUAUGUGUGAAAUUCAAAAAUUACUAAAAAAAAAAAAAAUACUACUUAGAAACAAAUCCCAUCAUUUCUAACGGGAAAAGGGCUAAAUAACAAUUAUUAUGGUUGUGGUCUGUCGUUUGGCAAAAGCAUAUCAUCUAAAAGCAUCCAAUAUAACAGAUAACAAACUCUAACACUGGAACAUUUUCUCAUACUAAACAAAGAGAUAACGCACAGUACAGGAGGAGCCAAGUGUAUCAGCCCCCCCCUUACUUUUUUUAAAUAAAAUGCGAUAUUUAUUAUUUAGCCAUACACCCUUAACCCACACUCCGGUCGUUGAAGCUGCUCGCAAAAUUUAAAACUCUUGGCGAAAUCUGUAUGUUAAUGCUUAUGCUAAUUGAUAAAGAUUUAGCUUCUCCUUAUAUCUUAUAUUUUAUUUCUAAACCCGCGACUGACUUUUAUUGAACGUAACCGUCUAUCUCGUGAGUGUGUGUGUGGUACAUAUUGAAAACAAUUUUUUCCAAGUUGCUCGCCUACAACGCAAGCGUCGAUUAUAUAUAAUUAUGUACAAGGUUUGGUUCGAAUACAAAUACAAGAGCCACGUUAUGGUACAAUAUUGACGGCGAAAGGGUUGACGGGGUGGUACGACCGGGGGGUGAGAAGGAGAAGGGGGGGGGCAGUAUUUUUAUUGGCUGUGUGUUCUACUAAUACACCUAUACAAAAUCGGUAUAUACCGCGCGCACAGAGGUAACAGCGCAGGACUCAUCGUCCCCCCCCUUUGUCGUGCACUUAAAAAAAAA
Long non-coding RNA from Adelges cooleyi (spruce gall adelgid), 2086 nucleotides. RefSeq lists it as uncharacterized. The transcript has 3 exons. The record is from RefSeq and is a predicted model, not a curated record. Lineage: Eukaryota; Metazoa; Arthropoda; Insecta; Hemiptera; Adelgidae.